Molecule: ribosomal RNA, 484 nt
Filed under: uncultured bacterium
Lineage: Bacteria
Description: partial 16S ribosomal RNA
Rfam family: Bacterial small subunit ribosomal RNA
Source: RNAcentral
AUUGAACGCUGGCGGCAGGCCUAACACAUGCAAGUCGAGCGGAUGAAGGGAGCUUGCUCCUGGAUUCAGCGGCGGACGGGUGAGUAAUGCCUAGGAAUCUGCCUGGUAGUGGGGGAUAACGUCCGGAAACGGGCGCUAAUACCGCAUACGUCCUGAGGGAGAAAGUGGGGGAUCUUCGGACCUCACGCUAUCAGAUGAGCCUAGGUCGGAUUAGCUAGUUGGUGGGGUAAAGGCCUACCAAUGCGACGAUCCGUAACUGGUCUGAGAGGAUGAUCAGUCACACUGGAACUGAGACACGGUCCAGACUCCUACGGGAGGCAGCAGUGGGGAAUAUUGGACAAUGGGCGAAAGCCUGAUCCAGCCAUGCCGCGUGUGUGAAGAAGGUCUUCGGAUUGUAAAGCACUUUAAGUUGGGAGGAAGGGCAGUAAGUUAAUACCUUGCUGUUUUGACGUUACCAACAGAAUAAGCACCGGCUAACUUCGUG